Caenorhabditis elegans is the source of this 225-nucleotide non-coding RNA. The record is from Ensembl. NCBI's taxonomy places the organism in Eukaryota, Metazoa, Nematoda, Chromadorea, Rhabditida, Rhabditidae.
CUUUGACUGCAAAUUUUUUAAACUUAUGAAAAAAAUGUUUUAAGUGUUUCAUGGUGUUUUAAAAUUAUGCAAUAUGAUAAUUUUGUCUAGCAACAAUUUUUACUGGCGAGGGGGCAGAUAGCUCAAUCGGUAGUGGUGGCCGCUAGCAGUCUGGAGGUCACGAGUUCAAGUCCGGCCUCACCCCCUAGGUUCGCCCAGCCUCUUUUGGGAAGUGGAGCAAUCCAC